UACGGAGGGUGCAAGCGUUAUCCGGAUUCACUGGGUUUAAAGGGUGCGUAGGCGGGCUGCCAAGUUUGGGGUGAAAUCCUCCGGCUCAACCGGAGCAGUGCCUCGAAUACUGGCGGUCUCGAGGGAGGUAGGGGCGUGCGGAACUGUGGGUGGAGCGGUGAAAUGCGUUGAUAUCCACAGGAACUCCGGUGGCGAAGGCGGCACGCUGGACCUUUUCUGACGCUGAGGCGCGAAAGCCAGGGGAGCGAACGGG
This 253-nucleotide ribosomal RNA is filed under the name uncultured bacterium. Its description in RNAcentral is "partial 16S ribosomal RNA". It matches the Rfam family "Bacterial small subunit ribosomal RNA", at positions 524 to 776 of the family's 1533-position model. The record is from RNAcentral.